This 301-nucleotide ribosomal RNA is filed under the name uncultured bacterium. RNAcentral's name for it is "partial 16S ribosomal RNA". It matches the Rfam family "Bacterial small subunit ribosomal RNA", at positions 509 to 807 of the family's 1533-position model. The record is from RNAcentral.
CAGCCGCCGCGGUAAUACGGAGGGAGCUAGCGUUGUUCGGAAUUACUGGGCGUAAAGCGCACGUAGGCGGCUUUGUAAGUCAGAGGUGAAAGCCUGGAGCUCAACUCCAGAACUGCCUUUGAGACUGCAUCGCUUGAAUCCAGGAGAGGUGAGUGGAAUUCCGAGUGUAGAGGUGAAAUUCGUAGAUAUUCGGAAGAACACCAGUGGCGAAGGCGGCUCACUGGACUGGUAUUGACGCUGAGGUGCGAAAGCGUGGGGAGCAAACAGGAUUAGAUACCCGCGUAGUCCCUGUCUCUUAUAC